UCGGAGUCACCGGCGUACGCCCCGGUGGCGUCGAUCGCGUGUUCAUCACAGAUCACCUCCCAGAACUUGGCGCCGAUCUGGUUUCCGCACUGCCCCGCCUGGAUGUGGAGGAUCUCCCUCAUCUUCACGAGGUCGAGGCGACGGCAGCGGCGGUGGCGUGGACGAGGAAGAAGAGGAGAAGCGGAGGAGGUCGGAGGCAGGUGGAAUCGUGGACUGGUGGCUUUUCUUGCAAUCCAAAU
RNAcentral lists this long non-coding RNA (239 nucleotides) under Musa acuminata (dwarf banana). RNAcentral describes it as "long non-coding RNA (MACU_LNC003036)". The record is from RNAcentral. Lineage: Eukaryota; Viridiplantae; Streptophyta; Magnoliopsida; Zingiberales; Musaceae.